Molecule: RNase P RNA, 392 nt
Filed under: Moelleriella libera RCEF 2490
Lineage: Eukaryota; Fungi; Ascomycota; Sordariomycetes; Hypocreales; Clavicipitaceae
Description: Aschersonia aleyrodis RCEF 2490 Nuclear RNase P
Rfam family: Nuclear RNase P
About the family: Ribonuclease P (RNase P) is a ubiquitous endoribonuclease, found in archaea, bacteria and eukarya as well as chloroplasts and mitochondria. Its best characterised activity is the generation of mature 5'-ends of tRNAs by cleaving the 5'-leader elements of precursor-tRNAs.
Source: Rfam by way of RNAcentral
UCCUUGAAGAUAUUGAAAAGGGGAGUUCUCAAAUACUUCACAUUGCAUGUGAGAAAUUCGGAGAAGCCUCUACACCUUUUUAUAUCGCUGUCGGUUUCUCUAUUUUCCCUCUCGUUGGGUUUCCUUUGGGGGGCCCGAGGAGGGGAAAAGAAAGGGACAGGACGGAUUCUGCCUGUGAGGGCCCGGCGUCAAUUGACGUCCGCAGAUUGGCAUCAGAAAUAUCAGGAGUCCCUUCGCUGCCCAAAAACUCUUCCUUUAGGGGAUUUGUUUCUGGAAGGUGAAAGGGUGUCUCCUCUGGGAAGCCACUGCGUAGAUUGUGUGAUGACACUUGAGUGCGAUGCGUGGCGUGGCCUGUUGGUCAUAAUUCGAUUCCGAUUAUUCUUCUUAGAGGA